Long non-coding RNA from Leopardus geoffroyi (Geoffroy's cat), 1018 nucleotides. RefSeq lists it as uncharacterized. Lineage: Eukaryota; Metazoa; Chordata; Mammalia; Carnivora; Felidae. The record is from RefSeq and is a predicted model, not a curated record. The transcript is spliced from 4 exons.
CACACCCAGGAAGGGAUAAGCCAUGUAUGUCUCCUGAUAAAGGAGGCGGUUACAGGAUUUUUUUUUUUCUUUUUAAAUAUUAGGCCCAAGGUUACUGGGGAAAAUGACCAAGCCAGCCGGAGACAUGGAGAAGACCCCACCUCCAAGGCAGCGGGGACGCCUCUGCCAGCCCCAGCCCCUUGUCUCCUGUGUCUCCUCGUGUCCGUCCCGGGGAGGGGCUGCUCCCCCUGGACACGGGGCCGGGACCCCUCGGUCCCUCUCGUCCCCUCUGUGAGCCAUCGUGCCCGUCCCUUCCUCCGCCCCUCCUUCCCAGCCUGCUCCCCACGGUCCCCACUGCAUCCGCUCUGUCGCCCUGGUGCCCAGUGGUGCGCCCAUCUGCGAACUGUCUCCAGGCCCACUGCACCCGCCAAACCCAGCGGACGUCCGCCUCGACCGCGGCCACGGUCGGUGCGGGAUCUGCACGGAUCCCGGCCCUCACCGUUCACACAGAAAACAGAUACUCACAGAUGGGAACCUCCACAGACGUCCCUCGUGGGGAUCGCUGCCUCCGACUCUCGCGGAGAAACUGGUCCCAGACCAUCCCUCCCGGCACAGACAUGUAACAGAAGCCAAGAGAACCGGCCACCUGCAAACCUGUUGUCCGGGGGCUUUUCAAGGUCGUGUUUCUGGCUGAGGUUGCGGUGACCUCUAACGCAGGGUGUGAGUGCCCCCUUCUCAGCUGGCAGGAUCCACUCAGCGUGGCACCUGCUUGGCACCUGUGUGUCAUUAAAAACUUUUUUUAAUGUUUUAUUUAUUUUUGAGACAGAGAGAGACAGAGAGUGAGCAGGUGUCCCAAGGAGAGGUAAGAGGAGAGGUGGAAUGAAGAAGUUUAAAUGCUUUUCAAAGUGUCACAAGCCCCCUAAAACCUGAGUAAGAUAAAAUCUCACAUUUUUAAGUUUACUUAUUUAUUUUGAGAGAGAGAGAGACUGAGCGAGGGAGAGAGAGACAGAAUCCCAAGCGGGCUCCGUGCUGUCAGCAC